UACGGAGGGGGUUAGCGUUGUUCGGAAUUACUGGGCGUAAAGCGCGCGUAGGCGGACCAGAAAGUUGGGGGUGAAAUCCCGGGGCUCAACCCCGGAACGGCCUCCAAAACUCCUGGUCUUGGGUUCGAGAGAGGUGAGUGGAAUUCCGAGUGUAGAGGUGAAAUUCGUAGAUAUUCGGAGGAACACCAGUGGCGAAGGCGGCUCACUGGCUCGAUACUGACGCUGAGGUGCGAAAGUGUGGGGAGCAAACAGG
This 253-nucleotide ribosomal RNA is filed under the name uncultured bacterium. RNAcentral describes it as "partial 16S ribosomal RNA". It matches the Rfam family "Bacterial small subunit ribosomal RNA", at positions 524 to 776 of the family's 1533-position model. The record is from RNAcentral.